UUUUAUUUGAGAGUUUGAUCCUGGCUCAGGAUGAACGCUGGCGGCGUGCCUAACACAUGCAAGUCGAGCGAUUUCCUUCGGGAAAGAGCGGCGGACGGGUGAGUAACGCGUGGGUAACCUGCCCUGUACACACGGAUAACAUACCGAAAGGUAUGCUAAUACGAGAUAAAGUGCUAUGAAGACAUCUUC
RNAcentral lists this ribosomal RNA (189 nucleotides) under Romboutsia maritimum. Its description in RNAcentral is "partial 16S ribosomal RNA". It matches the Rfam family "Bacterial small subunit ribosomal RNA", at positions 1 to 195 of the family's 1533-position model. The record is from RNAcentral. Lineage: Bacteria; Bacillati; Bacillota; Clostridia; Peptostreptococcales; Peptostreptococcaceae.